GACGAACGCUGGCGGCGUGCUUAACACAUGCAAGUCGUACGGUAAGGCCCUUUCGGGGGUACACGAGUGGCGCACGGGUGAGUAACACGUGAGUAACCUGCCCACAACUUUGGGAUAACGCUAGGAAACUGGUGCUAAUACUGGAUAUGUGCUCCUGCUGCAUGGUGGGGGUUGGAAAGCUCCUGCGGUUGUGGAUGGACUCGCGGCCUAUCAGCUUGUUGGUGGGGUAGUGGCCUACCAAGGCGGCGACGGGUAGCCGGCCUGAGAGGGUGACCGGCCACAUUGGGACUGAGAUACGGCCCAGACUCCGACGGGAGGCAGCAGGGGGGAAUAUUGCACAAUGGGCGCAAGCCUGAUGCAACAACGCCGCGUGCGGGAUGACGGCCUUCGGGUUGUAAACCGCUUUCAGCAGGGACGAAGCUUUUUGUGACGGUACCUGCAGAAGAAGCACCGGCUAACUACGUG
This 465-nucleotide ribosomal RNA is filed under the name uncultured bacterium. RNAcentral's name for it is "partial 16S ribosomal RNA". It matches the Rfam family "Bacterial small subunit ribosomal RNA", at positions 28 to 507 of the family's 1533-position model. The record is from RNAcentral.